UCAGACAAAGCCUGGACCCAGUCCAGGCGCCCCGGGUGAGCUAGCCGCUGAGCCCAUGGCCUCAGCUCUGUCCUAGAGGGCACCCCAGGAAGCCCCCCUCUCCAGGCCUAGGACAUGGUCUUGGCUGCCCCUGACUUCCUGGAAGGAACCUGUGACCCUGAUCAUGUCCAUGAGCUUGAGGAGACUGUGUUUGGUGUUUGUCCACAACGUCAUCUUAUUAUGGACUGAAUCAUAACACCCCCUAAAUUCAUGUGUUGAAGCCCUAACCUCAGUGCCUCCAAAUGUGGCUGCACUUGGAGAUGGGGUCUUUAAAGAGGUAAUUAAGGUUAAAUGAGGUCAUUGAGGGUGGGGCCUAAUCCAGAGUCAUUAGUGCCCUUAUAAGAAGGGGAGAUGAGAACAGGGCACAGAAGGAGGUUGACUCCCAGUCCAGGAGAGAGGCUUCAGACGGAAGUGGAUCUGCGGGUGCCUUGAUCUUGGACACCCAGCCUCCAACUUUUGGGGGACCUGGAGAUGCCUCUGAUGGAGAGGGGGCUUGAGAAUCACUCUGGGCUGGAAUGAACAGGGCUACUCCUCUCCACAAAAAAUGUUCAUUUUUGAAUCUGAAUAUGUCAUCUUGCAAGAGUCCUUGGUCCUUCACAAGUAGACUCCAGUCCUAUUUGUGAAGACCUGCAGUUUUCCUCAAAUCCUCUGCUCUGUUCUUCGUACAGUCAUGUGAUGGAAAUGAGUGCUUUUUCUCCCUGGAGAAAUAACCUACAGACAAAAAAAGAAGUAGCACUACAUUGAGAAAUCUGCAAAUCCCAAAAGUCAUCAGCUCGAAGACAACCCCCAGGAAUAAGGAAGAAAAUAAGUGUCACCAGAGACCAGCCAAGUACAUGUAAGGACAGCAAGCUGGAGUGAUGACCGUUUCAAUGACACCGACCCUGACAGUUUGGUUAUUUACCCAUUGUCUCCAGCUUCCUGUGCUGCUGCGUUUCUAUCCUCUGCUGUGUGAUGCUGGAGCUGGGAGCAAGCUAGCUACAGUUGCUUGGCUUCCUGGAGCGGGCUUUCUGUUAGUAUCUGCCAAUAGGAAGCAAUGGCUGGAGAUUAGAAGGCAGAGGAAGGAGAGAAGCUUCCUGCUUCUGCCUCUAACACUGUGGCAGUUGCUGGAAGUUACUGGCAACAGCAAGUUGUUACUGCAACAAGGCACAGCUGCAAGAGCAGUGGGCGUGGCAUGAUUCCAGUGUCUAUCCACCCAGGCUAAGGCAGCGUCUUUUCGGGGCUCCAGACCAAUAGCAACAGUUCUCCAAUAGUGCAGCAGCAGAUGCAAGCUCCAGGGGUCCACCUGGAGGGGGGGAGGGGCACCAGCAGCCUCUCUGAUCCUUGGGUAUCCAUCCUCUUUGCUUUUUCUGCCCCUUCUUUUUUCAUUCAGCCCUUCCAACAAUUUGCAAUCAAUCUCCUGUGUGAUAGUCCCUCCAUCCAAAAUACCCAGAAUAGUUUUCUUAUCUUUUUUCAUUUCUUUUUUUGGCUGCCCCACGACAUAUGGAAU
This is a non-coding RNA of Sus scrofa (pig), 1525 nucleotides long. The record is from RefSeq and is a predicted model, not a curated record. NCBI's taxonomy places the organism in Eukaryota, Metazoa, Chordata, Mammalia, Artiodactyla, Suidae.